GAUGAACGCUAGCUACAGGCUUAACACAUGCAAGUCGAGGGGUAACGAGAGGAAAGCUUGCUUUCCCUGUCGACGACCGGCGCACGGGUGAGUAACGCGUAUCCAACCUGCCCCCAACUAGGGAAUAACCUUGCGAAAGUAAGACUAAUACCCUAUAAUUUCCUCAGAUGACAUCUGACGAGGAAUAAAGAUUUAUCGGUUGUGGAUGGGGAUGCGUCUGAUUAGCUUGUUGGCGGGGUAACGGCCCACCAAGGCAACGAUCAGUAGGGGUUCUGAGAGGAAGGUCCCCCACAUUGGAACUGAGACACGGUCCAAACUCCUACGGGAGGCAGCAGUGAGGAAUAUUGGUCAAUGGGCGGAAGCCUGAACCAGCCAAGUAGCGUGCAGGAUGACGGCCCUAUGGGUUGUAAACUGCUUUUAUACAGGAAUAAAGUUAGCCACGUGUGGUUAUUUGUAGGUACUGUAUGAAUAAGGACCGGCUAAUUCCGUGCCAGCCGCCGCAGUAA
This 506-nucleotide ribosomal RNA is filed under the name uncultured bacterium. RNAcentral describes it as "partial 16S ribosomal RNA". It matches the Rfam family "Bacterial small subunit ribosomal RNA", at positions 28 to 523 of the family's 1533-position model. The record is from RNAcentral.